This 299-nucleotide long non-coding RNA is filed under the name Salvia miltiorrhiza (redroot sage). Its description in RNAcentral is "long non-coding RNA (SMIL_LNC003685)". Lineage: Eukaryota; Viridiplantae; Streptophyta; Magnoliopsida; Lamiales; Lamiaceae. The record is from RNAcentral.
GGAGGGAGAUAUAUUUUGUCAUGAGAGUAGAGGUUUUUUUUUUAUUAUUUAUUAUUAUUAUGAGAAUAUGGGAGUAGAGUUGGGCCAAAUAAGUAUAUAAGUUGAUCAUAAUUAAUUAUCUUCAACACUUUCUUGUGAGGUCUAUGAUCCAUAUAGAUGAUUAUUUUCUUGUGAAAUCUAUUUCCGGUAGCUAUAGCUCAGCUCCCGGUAUUCUGUUGCUGUUCAUUAAUGUCACAAAAGAAAGUCACAUUAAUAUUUGCAUGAUGAAGAUUUUAAUACAACUUUUUAUUAAAUCGAUG